This is an RNA transcript of Ziziphus jujuba (common jujube), 1881 nucleotides long. It is a transcript of the gene named E3 ubiquitin-protein ligase RZF1, with no coding region annotated. The record is from RefSeq and is a predicted model, not a curated record. Lineage: Eukaryota; Viridiplantae; Streptophyta; Magnoliopsida; Rosales; Rhamnaceae. The transcript is spliced from 3 exons.
AUAAAAGAUGCUAACAUUUUCUUCCAGGAAAAGUUAGCCGUUACAUUCCCUCCAAAUUCAAAUUUCCAAUUUUUCUUCGUUUUUUUUCCUUUUUUUUUUUUUUUUUGUUUUUUGAAGUAGUUCCUUAAGAAAUCUCUUUUUGCAACAAACGACUCAUUCUUUCCUUUACAAAGACGAAACAGUGAGAAGAAGCACAUCCAAUCCAAGAUGGAGAGAAAAACAGCAUUGCUUUUCUCAACACCCAAAAGCCAUUCUUUCUUUUGUGUACGUAUCAUUGCUUAUAUAUGUUUGCUCAUUUUGAUUCCAACAGCUGACCUCACAAAACCCAAAAUUCGAUCUUUUAACGAAAACCCCUUUUUGAAUUCUCACCAUCAAUUGAAUCGCUUAUGUCUUUAAGCCCAACUCGUCUCGGCAACAAUGGCGGCAGCGGCAGCGGCACCGGAACCUACCAGCUUUACUGGUGCUACCAGUGCCGUAGAGCGGUCAGAUUAGCCCCUAACACCAACCCUUCCGAGAUCCUUUGCCCUCGUUGCUUCGGCCAUUUCCUCUGCGAAAUGGAUGCAGAAAGGCCCAGUAGGAUUGUCGAUUUCACCGAUUACGAUCUCUCUCCGGGAGCUCGAUUACUCGAAGCGCUGACCCUAAUGCUUGAUCCUCGGAUAAGGAGAGGCUUAUUUGGAGAUCCGGAGACGGAACAGGAAACAACCAGUCCGUUGUUCCGGAGGCGACAAACCCAAGAAGGUGCAGAUGCUCGGGAUCCAGAAGCUCAAAUAUUUCGAGGAGCACCUCCGCGGUGGAGAAGGCGGCAGCGGCGAAACCGGAGCUUCGACGGGACGAAUUGGGUCCGGGAAACCACCAUGGAAGAAAAUGAAAACCAACCUGGGGCGUGGAUUCUACUAAGACCCCUGGAUCCUUCUAACCCUUUCUCGCCCAUUUUCAGUCGGGAAAAUCCCCGAACACCUGGUGUGGAUCCCAGAAACUACUUUUUGGGACAGCGUUUGGAUGAACUGAUCGAGGAACUGACCCAGAACGACAGACCGGGACCGCCUCCGGCACCGGAAUCGGCAAUUGGUAAGAUUCCAACGGUGAAAAUCAUUGAGGCGCAUCUGAAAAAUGACUCGCCGCAUUGUCCGGUUUGCAUGGAGGAGUUCAAGGUGGGUGGUGAGGCAAAAGAAUUGCCAUGCAAACACAUAUACCAUUAUGACUGUAUUGUUCCUUGGCUGCGACUUCACAAUUCUUGCCCUGUCUGUCGGCACGAGUUGUCGGUGUCGGAAGACGAUGCCGGGGAAGAUUUGUUGGAAUCGGAGUCUUCCAAUGACGGUGGUGGUGGAGGAAGAAGGAAUCGCCGGUGCCCCAGGUGGCAUCAGCGGUUGGGCUCUUUCUGGCCCUUCCGAUCAAGGUAUCGCCAGCUUAAUCCACAUUCGCACCCUGAUUCCACUCCUUCUCGACCUGGACCUGCUGCUAGCUCAUGGCGGCAUUCUUGCUACAUUCUUUAGCACUUUGUAUAUGGAUGACAUUUGUAUGGACUUUUAUGGUUGAAAUCUUUGUUAGGACCACUUUAAGAUUUUAUACUACUAUUUCUGGCCUCACUCUUGGGAGGGUUACUGUGGAGAUUGAUCUUACCGAUUUAUCAUUGAAUUAUUCGGAGUGUAGCUGAUUCUUCACCUAAUCUCGGCCUAAAGCAUGCUUGGGAAAACUCAAAAAGGGCGUUCUCAGUGUUCUGAGAGAUGCUCUAAUUCAUGCAAAACACAUAAAAAAUAAAUAAAUAACUAAACAAAAAGAAAAAAGAAAGAAAAGUAGAUGUUCUUUUAUAUGCCUAUGAAAAUGUACAGUACAUUAUUAUGCAAUAAUUCAAAGUUAGAGAAUUAUUUGUAAUUUCAAGCA